Molecule: long non-coding RNA, 1597 nt
Organism: Hevea brasiliensis (rubber tree)
Lineage: Eukaryota; Viridiplantae; Streptophyta; Magnoliopsida; Malpighiales; Euphorbiaceae
Exons: 3
Source: RefSeq, a predicted model, not a curated record
CAAAUAAUUAAGAUUAAGAUUUGACUGUUGUUGCAUAUAUCAGAAUUCAGAAGCUUUUACGGUAGAUGAUGCCAAGGAUUCAAUCCUUAAGGCUUAAUCUGUUAUUACAUGAGACGGGCACUAAAAUAAUAUCCACAUAUAUGAGAACUCAAUAACGAAAAUGACCUCUCAAUUUAUUUCAGACAGGAAUACUCUAAAUCAUACGUUCAUGCUGGAGAUCCACACGCAAACUUGAAGAUGCCAGCCUACAUUAUUCAUGAAUUAUGAUAUAAUAAUAUGCAGACACGUGCAUUUGGAUAAACCAUAUAUUUUCACUGUAAAUGAUGUUUACUUGAUGCUAACCCAAAUGAACUCAUUCCACUUUUAAACAUAUGAAAAUCACCACCAUAUAUUCACAUUCAAACUAAUAUCUUCUCAAGUCAAGUGGCCUCAUAUAGAUUUUUUUUUUAAGAAAAAAUAGUCUUCAUCUCCACCUGCAAGUAUACAAAUUGAGUUAAACCUCAUUUAAUAUAUAAAUCUAAAUGCACAUAAUAUUAAUUGUGGUGUGGACGUGUAUUCUCAUCUGCAGAAAGUCAAAACCGUGUUCUUUCAGUGUUUUGCUGGUGAAAAUGAAACUAAUGGAGCUCAAAGCACAUAUUCUGUGGGGAAAGAUACAGCAGAUAAAUGUUUACCAUCCUACAUAUUAUUCUCUAUCAAGUUUCAGUCUUUUUUUCCCCAAGCUUUCUAUCGUGUUCUCUUCUGUUCCAAGUAAAGAAUCCCAAUCAGCCCUUACACAUGCCUUUUUAUUUUUGUAAUCUUUUGAGCUGGAAAACCCAGUUUCGGAUGCUUUUAUCUACUCUUUCUAACAUGCUUUUGAAGAUCAAAUUAAAGGGUAAAUAUGGCAAUAUCUUUUAUCCUACAGCCUAUGGGAGGUUUCCUUUAAAAGCUCUGGAUGCCUUUGCCAUAGCCAAUUUCAAUCACCAAAAUGUCAACUUCAUAAUACCUGAAAGUCUGAACAGGGUUGUAUUGGCUCUCUGAAUGAGAAAACUUUGGAAUAUUUAAUUACCGACCCAACAAAGAAAGCAACUUCAGGAAUCAAUUUGUGCCAAGCAAAAGCGAAAGCUUACUCAUCAAGUUUAUUUAUCUAUUCAUUCUGAGAGAUGAACGAAUGCAUAUAAACAACUGCAAGUAUAUCCUAGUUUAGGCAUCCUUGCCUACGUGAAUACGACAGUUGCAGCAAGAGAGAGACACGACUAGGCUCAAGAUUCCUCUGCUUUUCCUCAAGAAUGCCUAACUCAGAGAAGCAAGAAACCAAUCCCCCUGCAGGGUACCCAACUGAGACUCCCACCACUGGGAAGAAGCGCUUCCAUCAUUCAAAGAAGAAAGGAGACAGAGGCUUUAUUGAAGGAUGCCUCUUCGCUCUGUGCUGCUGUUGGCUGUGUGAAGCUUGCUUCUGAAUUUUGAUCAGUGGUUCAAAUAAGCAUAGCUUCUGCUAUGGAUUUGUAUUGAUUGAUCUGCUUUUCUAUAAUUGAUCAGAUUAUUGUAAUAAAUGUAAUUGAUAGGACAUGUGUAGCAAACAAUCUAUCUAUUAAUAUAUUUGUACCUUUUUAUUUCCUCA